UUCGCAAUGCCCGAAAGGGUGACGAUGCGACGCCGCGUGAGCGAAGAAGGCCCUAGGGUUGUAAAGCUCUGUCGAGGGUUAUGAAAUAUAGAUGGGUUAAUACCCCAUUUAUUUGACAAAAGCCCAAAAGGAAGCCACGGCUAACUCUGCGCCAGCAGCCGCGGUAAUACAGAGGUGGCGAGCGUUGUUCGGUAUUAUUGGGCGUAAAGAGCACGUAGGUGGUUUUGUAAGUCAGGUGUGAAAGCCUUCUGUUCAAAGGAAGAACGGCAUCUGAAACUGCAGAUCUUGAGUGUAGGAGGGGAGAGUGGAACUUCUGGUGGAGCGGUGAAAUGCGUAGAUAUCAGAAGGAACGUCGGCGGCGAAAGCGACUCUCUGGCCUAUUACUGACACUGAGGUGCGAAAGUUAGGGGAGCAAACGGGAUUAGAUACCCCGGUAGUCCUAACCGUAAACGAUGGGCACUAAGUAGAGGGGUUUU
Molecule: ribosomal RNA, 476 nt
Filed under: uncultured anaerobic ammonium-oxidizing bacterium
Lineage: Bacteria
Description: bacterial SSU rRNA
Rfam family: Bacterial small subunit ribosomal RNA
Source: RNAcentral